Molecule: long non-coding RNA, 1079 nt
Filed under: Bemisia tabaci
Lineage: Eukaryota; Metazoa; Arthropoda; Insecta; Hemiptera; Aleyrodidae
Description: lncRNA ENSSWEETPG009560
Source: RNAcentral
GAUUCCCCUCACCAAACAUUAGUUGGAGUAAAAAUGGUGUGGAAGUGUACCAAUCCCAGGUAAACUCACGAUCAGCUGGUCUUUAAACAAAGCAUCAUUGGAAAUCAGUGAUGUCAACCUUCAAGAUGCAGGGCGUUACACAUGCAAAGCAGAAAAUGAUCUCGGCUCUGCAACCUGUACUGCUGAUAUUGUUGUGAAAAAAAAUGUAUUUUCUCCAAUAAUCGGGCGACGAUUACAAUCUCAAACAGUACCAACAAAUGAAGAGUCAUUUUGGAGGUGGAGGUAACGGGACAGCCAGAACCAACAGUGACGUGGUACAAAGACAAUCUUGAAAUUCCAAAAUCAUCUGGAAUGUUCCGUUUUCGAAGCCAGGGAAAUUCCCAUGCUCUAAUCAUUGAUAAAGUGUCUUUUUCUCAUGGAGGCCAAUACACAGUGAAGACAAAGAAUGAAGCUGGCGAAUCUAGUAGCUCUGCUUCAGUGUAUGUCUUUGAGCCACCACCUUCAUCUGCUCCAAAUGAAACUGUCAUCGAAACCAAAUUAUCGGGAGCUACCUCAUUCAAGCCUGAAGAAAGAACCGUCAAACUGCAAGACUUGAAUCUAGAGCCAUUUCCCUUCCAACCAGAGCCAGCGAAACCUGCCAGAAAACAAAUCGUGCCUCCACCUUGCAGUCCAUCCAAAUUUAUCAAAGGAGAUUUCCGCCAAAGUGAAUACGGAACGGACUAUGAAUCCGUGCGGAUACCCCCGAUUUGGAAACCUCAUGACUCAGACUCUGAAGACAUUUCAUACCGACCUGUUCGCCCGAAUUUAACACCAGUUUCAAGGCGGAAAAAGUAUGAAAAUAAUGUUCUUCCUCCGCUUAACUUUGAAGAAUCUCCACGAUCAAGUUUGAACCUGAAAAAUCAACAACCCCUGUUAAACUAAAAGAAAUCUUGUCGCCAACAAAGAUGCAGAAGUCUUUUCCUCAAUCUUCUUCCAGCAAUUCAUAUCAGACAUUUGCCUCUCAGCCAACGUAUCAAAAUCAGUCUCACCAAGCACAGUCAACAUAUCAAAAUCAGUCUCACCAAGCGCAGUCAACGUAU